Long non-coding RNA from Rhineura floridana, 354 nucleotides. RefSeq lists it as uncharacterized. The record is from RefSeq and is a predicted model, not a curated record. Lineage: Eukaryota; Metazoa; Chordata; Lepidosauria; Squamata; Rhineuridae. The transcript is spliced from 2 exons.
UAACAGCAGUAUCAGAAUUUGGUCUGUGGUGUUUGUUUUGUGUGGAGCUGGAUAAAGAAUUUGAACUGCGCAGGCAGAGAAAAAGAAACAGAUCUCCAUUGCUCCUGAGGAAGGAUUACUCCGAAACGUGUUGAGCCUCAGUAAAUUUACCAAGCACCAGAGCCUGCCUCUCUUUCUUGUCCAUCACGUGGUGCUUUUCCCUUUUGUUUCUGCCAGCUCUACAGGAGUGCAAAAUUGCUAAGAGCAGACCUGAUAAUGAAAUUGAUCUGCGCUUUGAAAGACAACAGCAUUACUUAUGAGCAACUGACUAACAUUAACUAAUAAAGGUGGCUUUUAAUAAGCCAUUGCAGACAA